This 253-nucleotide ribosomal RNA is filed under the name uncultured bacterium. RNAcentral's name for it is "partial 16S ribosomal RNA". It matches the Rfam family "Bacterial small subunit ribosomal RNA", at positions 524 to 776 of the family's 1533-position model. The record is from RNAcentral.
UACAGAGGGUGCGAGCGUUGUUCGGAAUUAUUGGGCGUAAAGGGCGCGUAGGCGGUGCGGUAAGUCACCUGUGAAAUCUCCUGGCUCAACUGGGAGCUUGCAGGCGAAACUGCCGUGCUGGAGUGUGGGAGAGGUGCGUGGAAUUCCUGGUGUAGCGGUGAAAUGCGUAGAUAUCAGGAGGAACACCUGUGGCGAAAGCGGCGCACUGGACCACAACUGACGCUGAGGCGCGAAAGUUAGGGGAGCAAACAGG